AAAAUUUUGGACACUUUUUUUUGUCUGAAAUUAAAAUUGUCCAAAAUUUUUUUGUAAGUAAGCUAGCUUCAAUAGAAGAGACUGCAGUAUCUCCACUCCCUACUGGUUGGACCUAUUCUUUUACGGGGUUACCCCAUUCCAUUCAAGGUUACCAUAAUUCGUGAACAUGAUUUGGACACUCCCAUUUAGAGGUCAUAAAAAUUUGUCAAUUCCUUUUUUCUUUUAAAUUCUUGGUGCAGUUUGGUAGCUAGCUCUGUAAGCUUUAAUUUGAUAUAGGGUAUUUGGUGAUUCCCAUUUAUAAGUAAAGUAAAGUAUCUUGCCCAAGAGCACAUUACAUUUAUGCAGGCAGCCUUCCAAAGACAUUUCUCUCACAGUUUCUCUGCCAAGUGAAUGACUUGUGGUAGUAACAAUAUUCUCACUCCAGGGAACUACCAUCUGUAGGAUUAGAAUGUAAUAUCACUUGAAGGAGCAGAAUGAUGUGCCCUGUACCUAGUGGUGUAACGAUUAAUCGAAUUUUCGAUUAAUCGUGAUUAUGACCAUUCAGUUUGCCUCACGAUUCUUUGAUUCCAAGUUUCGGUUUUGGUUCGAUUUUUUGCAUACCUUUCUCGGAGUGCCCUCAGUGAGUUAUUAUAUUGUGAAAUCAGAAUCCAGAACUCUUUAAAAUGUGCGUUUUUGAUUGAGGAGUAAAGACGUUUGCAGUUUGUGAGCCAUUUUGUGUUGCGUGGUAAAAAUGUUGCCCUUCUAACACCCCUUGAGAAUUUCCAAAUAAGGCAAACCAUGUGCGACACGCUCAUUGUAUCUUUAAAUUGAGGGUUUAGGGUUGUUUACAUUGUGUAUCAUAUUGUAAGAAUUAAAAAAACAUUAAUAUUUUGCAUAAUCGAAUUGAAAUAAUUGAAAUCAAAAGGCAAUAAUCAAAAUUGAAUCAAAUCACAAGGAAUAUGAGGCAUUACACCCCUACCUGUACCCAACAUUGCAUGUUACAAAUGUCUGAUGUUCUAAUGUCUCUAUAGGCCGUCCUGCUGGAAACCAAAGUUGGAAAUUCAAGAUGCGAAGCGUCAACCCAUCAUGAUGAUCAAUGGCCCAUGCUGUUUUUGCAGCUGUGGAUCAGAUGUUGAAUUCCCUAUCCACUCUCUAGAUGGAGGGAGUGAAAUUGGAAUGAUAACCAAACAGUGGAUGGGAUUUACACGAGAGGUCUUUACUGAUGCUGCAAACUUUGGAAUUCGCUUUUCCAGUCACACAAUGGAGACUACACAGGCAGAAGUCUGGAACUAUUAUUGUUGGCACAGUCAAAGCCUGCAUGUUAUAGUCUUCCAUCCUUAUUAAUUUCCUGCUUAUUGUAUGGCUGCGGAAAAUUGAGUCAGUGUUUGGCAGAUGUGAAGCAUCAGACAAUAACCUCUGUCAAUAUCUCUAUUAUUUUUUAGUCUUGAUCAGUGAUCCUAUAACUACAGAAAUGCCAGUGUAAAAAAAUGCAGUCACAGACAAUACCAACUUAAAGUUACUUCAUAAAACAACCCAAAAUAUUACCCUGAAAAUGCCAAAAAUCGGCCGAGAAUUACAUGAAAAAAAAUUUACAAUGAGUGCUUUCUUUUGUAUCUGGGAGAUUUGGUAACCCAUACUGGAAACCAGGAGAUUUGGUCUGUAGACUCCCAGAUACAUCAGGGAGUGUUGGCAUAGAUGCUACCACAUUAAAAAUUGCCUAUGGAUUUGUGCCUCAUUAAACAUAUGUUAUAAAUCAUUACUCAAUAUUUAAAUAUUAUAUUUUUAAUUCU
This is a long non-coding RNA of Orbicella faveolata, 1769 nucleotides long. Lineage: Eukaryota; Metazoa; Cnidaria; Anthozoa; Scleractinia; Merulinidae. The record is from RefSeq and is a predicted model, not a curated record.